RNAcentral lists this ribosomal RNA (308 nucleotides) under uncultured Idiomarina sp. RNAcentral's name for it is "bacterial SSU rRNA". It matches the Rfam family "Bacterial small subunit ribosomal RNA", at positions 28 to 334 of the family's 1533-position model. The record is from RNAcentral. Lineage: Bacteria; Pseudomonadati; Pseudomonadota; Gammaproteobacteria; Alteromonadales; Idiomarinaceae.
GUUGAACGCUGGCGGCAGGCCUAACACAUGCAAGUCGAGCGGUAACAUUUCCAGCUUGCUGGAAGAUGACGAGCGGCGGACGGGUGAGUAAUACUUGGGAACUUGCCUCUAGGCGGGGGACAACCACUGGAAACGGUGGCUAAUACCGCAUAAUGUCUACGGACCAAAGUGGGGGACCUUCGGGCCUCACACCUAGAGAUGGGCCCAAGUGGGAUUAGCUAGUUGGUGAGGUAAUGGCUCACCAAGGCGACGAUCCCUAGCUGUUCUGAGAGGAUGAUCAGCCACACUGGGACUGAGACACGGCCCAG